GACAGAGGGUGCAAACGUUGUUCGGAAUUACUGGGCGUAAAGGGCGCGUAGGCGGCACUGUUAGUCAGGCGUGAAAUUCCUGGGCUCAACCUGGGGACUGCGCUUGAUACGGCAGAGCUAGAGGAUGGAAAAGGCUCGCGGAAUUCCCAGUGUAGAGGUGAAAUUCGUAGAUAUUCGGAAGAACACCAGUGGCGAAGGCGGCUCACUGGUCCGGUACUGACGCUGAGGUGCGAAAGCGUGGGGAGCAAACAGG
RNAcentral lists this ribosomal RNA (253 nucleotides) under uncultured bacterium. Its description in RNAcentral is "partial 16S ribosomal RNA". It matches the Rfam family "Bacterial small subunit ribosomal RNA", at positions 524 to 776 of the family's 1533-position model. The record is from RNAcentral.